UGGUUUAGCUCAGUUGGUAGAGCAGCUGAUUUGUAAUCAGCAGGUCGGAGGUUCGAGCCCCUCAACCA
Molecule: transfer RNA, 68 nt
Filed under: bovine gut metagenome
Rfam family: tRNA
About the family: Transfer RNA (tRNA) molecules are approximately 80 nucleotides in length.
Source: RNAcentral